RNAcentral lists this ribosomal RNA (477 nucleotides) under Lactobacillus sp. oral taxon 424. RNAcentral's name for it is "bacterial SSU rRNA". It matches the Rfam family "Bacterial small subunit ribosomal RNA", at positions 28 to 469 of the family's 1533-position model. Lineage: Bacteria; Bacillati; Bacillota; Bacilli; Lactobacillales; Lactobacillaceae. The record is from RNAcentral.
GACGAACACUGGCGGCGUGCCUAAUACAUGCAAGUCGAACGCGUCUUGGUUAUUGAUGUUAAGUGCUUGCAUUUAACUGAUUUAACAUUGAGACGAGUGGCGAACUGGUGAGUAACACGUGGGUAACCUGCCCUUGAAGUAGGGGAUAACACUUGGAAACAGGUGCUAAUACCGUAUAACAACCAAAACCACCUGGUUUUGGUUUAAAAGAUGGCUUCGGCUAUCACUUUAGGAUGGACCCGCGGCGUAUUAGCUUGUUGGUAAGGUAACGGCCUACCAAGGCAAUGAUACGUAGCCGACCUGAGAGGGUAAUCGGCCACAUUGGGACUGAGACACGGCCCAAACUCCUACGGGAGGCAGCAGUAGGGAAUCUUCCACAAUGGACGAAAGUCUGAUGGAGCAACGCCGCGUGAGUGAUGAAGGGUUUCGGCUCGUAAAACUCUGUUGUUGGAGAAGAACAGGUGUGAGAGUAACUGU